AUGGUAGCAACACAACAUGAUAUUCGAUUGUUUAUAUUGUAUUAUUGACUGUAUGUCUGUUUAUCCGAUGUGUAACUCGGUGUUGUUGUUUUGUCGCACUGCUUUGCUUUAUCUUGACCAGGUCACAGUUGAAAAUGAGAACCUAUUCUCUACUGGCCUACCUGGUUAAAUAAAGGUGUUCUCAACUAGCCUACCUGGUUAAAUAAAGGUGUUCUCAACUGGCCUACCUGGUUAAAUAAAGGUGUUCUCUACUGGCCUACCUGGUUAAAUAAAGGUGUUCUCAACUGGCCUACCUGGUUAAAUAAAGGUGUUCUCAACUAGCCUACCUGGUUAAAUAAAGGUGUUCUCUACUGGCCUACCUGGUUAAAUAAAGGUGUUCUCAACUGGCCUACCUGGUUAAAUAAAGGUGUUCUCUACUGGCCUACCUGGUUAAAUAAAGGUGUUCUCUACUGGCCUACCUGGUUAAAUAAAGGUGUUCUCUACUGGCCUACCUGGUUAAAUAAAGGUGUUCUCUACUGGCCUACCUGGUUAAAUAAAGGUGUUCUCAACUAGCCUACCUGGUUAAAUAAAGGUGAAAUGAAAUCAAAUAAAAAACAACAUGGUAGCAUCACAACAUGACAACAACAUGGUAGCAACACUACAUGGUAGCAUCACAUGACAACAACAUGGUAGCAUCAC
This is a long non-coding RNA of Oncorhynchus keta (chum salmon), 678 nucleotides long. RefSeq lists it as uncharacterized. The record is from RefSeq and is a predicted model, not a curated record. Lineage: Eukaryota; Metazoa; Chordata; Actinopteri; Salmoniformes; Salmonidae. The transcript has 3 exons.